CUCCUCUGGUUUGACUGUAACUCGAUUGGACAAAUCCUGAAGGUCUCCUGGAUGAAAAAGUUGAGCUUCUUUCAAUCCAAUAUUUUCACAAGCUUUCAGAAAAACAUUUAUAUUAUCCAAGCCAGCUAUUGGAGUUGACAGACGAUUGAUCUUCCUAACAAUGCCAGGUUUGAUCUUGUUAAUCAAAUCGCACAACAGGACUCCAUUUUCUAGAGCUGCUCGAAAAUCUUUGGUUCCAAAGCUCUUCCCAGUAACUGUCUCCACCCAUCUCCGCGCCUCUGCGAACGCCGCCUCGCAGCCGCACUCGGCAUCCUCUCUGCCGUCCAUGGCCGGGAGAAAGAGCGGGUGGCGG
This 352-nucleotide long non-coding RNA is filed under the name Gallus gallus (chicken). The record is from RNAcentral. Lineage: Eukaryota; Metazoa; Chordata; Aves; Galliformes; Phasianidae.